UCUGAACUCCUCCACCUGGGUGUUGCUGCAGCCAGAGGACUUUGUAUUUAAGCAGACACACCCCGGGAACAUCUGAGCUAAAGCCCACAUUUCUUUUCCAUUGUCUUGUCCCACAUUCUCAUAAGCUUAGGUCACAUAUGUCCUACAAUAAGGCAGACUUUUUUCCACACUUCCCUCUCCACACGUCUGCUGGCUCAGGCUGGAUCCACAAAGCCUGGUACCUUCUGCAGGGACACAAGAGGGACCUGCCAUGACAGUGCAGCUUCUUGGCACAGCACCCUUCAUUAUAAAGCACAUUAGGGACCAUUUCCUGCUGGUAUCGCAUGGAGCCUCUGCAUGCAUCUGGGUGGCACCUUCAGCAAGAACGAAGAGCUGAAAGUAUUAGUUUUCACAAGGGUUAUUCUUACCUCUCCCAAAAUGUUUCCCACCAUGCUAGAGUGUGAUUUCUGAAACAAAUAUGUUCUGUUUAUUUAUUUAAUGUGCUGUUAAAUGACCUUCUGUAAAGCUAUUACUGCCAAAAGGCUUUAAAAUGGAUGGGCAGGCAUAUAACUUAAGAGAGCAUGCUCCUUACAAUCAGGAUGAAUCAUUUGAGUAGUUACUGUUUGGAUUGAUAUAAUUUUAGUUAUAAUUAUGGGUAACGAGAAGGCAUUUAGAGUCUGUAAUAUUGUAAUUCAUGGUGAGAGGAGUCCUAAAUUAAAUAAAAUAUAUCCAAAUUUGCUUUUUCUUCCUAUCUAGGUAUUAUGCACGUAAGCAUGAUUCUUUAAGGAACAGAUUUUCUGCUGCUGUCUAGUAUCUAGCAAAAGUAGGUCAAAAAUGACAUCUAGAGAUAACAUGUUUGGUAACCACAAAGGGACUGUCUGUGUCUUUCUUUUUGGCCUUUUAAGAGUCCUAUAAUAAAUUACUAUAGGUAUAGCAGCAGCAUGAAAAGAUUUUGAUCCAUAGACUCCCAUGGCCUGUGGUGGUGGAUCAGGGGUACAUAUUGUCACUUUUAUUAUCCCAUUACACUAAUAGAAGAUGAUAAAAUUAUAUUAGCAAGGGUCUGGGAAUACAAAAAAAGAACAUUAUAAACACAUAAACCUGCUGUCAUCUGCCUAGCUCUAGAGUACCACCAGACCUUGGACUAUGCCACUCAAGUGGUUGGUGUGCUCCUGCUGACCCCAAAAACCAAACAGUGACAGCAAUCCCCAAGUGAAGGGCUUGAAAACCACCCCAUGAACAGACAGCCCGUGUCAUUUGGUUAGUGUGGCUUUUGGCCAUGGAGAGAAGGCGGAAAGGAGGCUAGAGGGAGAGAACGAAAGCACGGGGUUUGGCACAUGUGUGCACAUGUGAGUGAGCUCACCACAGCUCUCACGAGCCAGGAACCAUGUGGGGACGAAGCAGCACAGCUGAGCAGUGCUGGUGCCAGCCCGCGGAGGCCGGACACAUGGCGAUUAGCUGUUAACAUGCAGUUGACAGUUGUCUCGGAUCGCAGACAUGUUUGAGUGCUCCUAUUUCAGAAGUUUCACAGCUGUGUUUGUACAGCAAGAUCUGAAUGAGGAGAGGGAAGCUGUGCCACGGGCAAGGAGCAGGAAAGUGAUUGGUAGAAGGAAUCCUGAGUCCUGACACAUCUGCAUUAAAAUAGAUACAACUUUUCACAUCUGCUGAUGGCUUGAUAAUUAAUGUUAACUAAAAGCAAAGCUUCAGGAUCUGCAACUGAUAUUUCGCAUAUGCUGUACAAGACAUCAGCAUAAUGAACACCCUCAACCACAUUUUCAUAACAUAAUUUAAGUGACAGGGUUUUCUUUAUGGUGCAGGUUGAACUACAUUUCAACAACAGCCCAGGAAGCAGCAAAGUUUGCCCAUCAAGUGCUGUUUAAAUGUCCAAGCUGCUAUGCCCCAGACUGUGGGUGACAAGCUCUCCGCAUACUCCCUGAAUCUCUUAGCAACUUGAUAAUGAAAUACAUAAACUAUGACCCUUAUUGAUCACGGCUUACACUAAUUAAUUUCCCAAAGUCCUGUCCCAGCCUGCAGUGAUAUCAAUGCAA
Molecule: long non-coding RNA, 2024 nt
Organism: Neopsephotus bourkii (Bourke's parrot)
Lineage: Eukaryota; Metazoa; Chordata; Aves; Psittaciformes; Psittacidae
Exons: 2
Source: RefSeq, a predicted model, not a curated record